UUGACCUCGGAUCAGGUAGGGAUACCCGCUGAACUUAAGCAUAUCAAUAAGCGGAGGAAAAGAAACCAACAGGGAUUGCCUCAGUAACGGCGAGUGAAGCGGCAAGAGCUCAAAUUUGAAAGCUGGGCCUUUCAGGUCCCGCAUUGUAAUUUGCAGAGGAUGCUUCGGGAGUGGUCCCCAUCUA
Molecule: ribosomal RNA, 184 nt
Filed under: Penicillium taxi
Lineage: Eukaryota; Fungi; Ascomycota; Eurotiomycetes; Eurotiales; Aspergillaceae
Also listed under: 1 other name
Description: partial 28S ribosomal RNA
Rfam family: Eukaryotic large subunit ribosomal RNA
Source: RNAcentral